AGAGUUUGAUCCUGGCUCAGGACGAACGCUGGCGGCGUGCCUAACACAUGCAAGUCGAACGGAAAUAAGCUCUAAGCUUGCUUAGAGCGAGUUUUAGUGGCGUAACGCGUGGGUAACCUACCCAUAAACCCGGGACAACCCUUGGAAACGAGGGCUAAUACCGGAUAAUCUUAAGAGCUGGCAUCAGCUUUUAAGGAAAGGUGGCCUCUGUAUAUGCUACCGAUUAUGGAUGGACCCGCGUCUGAUUAGCUAGUUGGUGGGGUAAAGGCCUACCAAGGCGACGAUCAGUAGCCGGCCUGAGAGGGUGAACGGCCACACUGGGACUGAGACACGGCCCAGACUCCUACGGGAGGCAGCAGUGGGGAAUCUUCCGCAAUGGACGAAAGUCUGACGGAGCAACGCCGCGUGUAUGAUGAAGGUCUUCGGAUUGUAAAGCUCUGUUGAUAUUGGACGAACGAUUUCCCGUAAAUAAUGGGAAAGAAUGACGGUACAAUAAGAGGAAGCCACGGCUAACUACGUGCCAGCAGCCGCGGUAAUACGUAGGUGGCAAACGUUGUCCGGAAUUACUGGGCGUAAAGGGCGAGUAGGUGGUUUAUUAAGUCAAGAGUGAAAACUCCAGGCUCAACUUGGAGACUGCUCUACGAAACUGGUAGACUUGAGUGCAAGAGGGAAGUGGAAUUCCUAGUGUAGCGGUGAAAUGCGUAGAUAUUAGGAGGAACACCAGUGGCGAAGGCGACUUCCUGGCUUGUAACUGACACUGAGGCGCGAAAGCGUGGGGAUCAAACAGGAUUAGAUACCCUGGUAGUCCACGCCGUAAACGAUGAGUGCUAGGUGUCGGGGGUUAUCGACCCCCUCGGUGCCACAGCUAACGCAAUAAGCACUCCGCCUGGGGAGUACGGUCGCAAGACUGAAACUCAAAGGAAUUGACGGGGGCCCGCACAAGCGGUGGAGUAUGUGGUUUAAUUCGACGCAACGCGAAGAACCUUACCAAGGCUUGACAUCCUGUGACAGCUAUAGAAAUAUAGUCUUUAGUUUACUAAGACACAGAGACAGGUGGUGCAUGGUUGUCGUCAGCUCGUGUCGUGAGAUGUUGGGUUAAGUCCCGCAACGAGCGCAACCCCUACAGCUAGUUGCCAGCACGUAAAGGUGGGAACUCUAGACAGACUGCCGGUGAUAAACCGGAGGAAGGUGGGGAUGACGUCAAAUCAUCAUGCCCCUUAUGUUCUGGGCUACACACGUGCUACAAUGGCCAGUACAGACGGAAGCGAAGCCGCGAGGGUUAAGCGAACCCCUUAAAACAGGUCCCAGUUCGGAUUGUAGGCUGCAACUCGCCUACAUGAAGUCGGAAUCGCUAGUAAUCGCAGGUCAGCAUACUGCGGUGAAUACGUUCCCGGGCCUUGUACACACCGCCCGUCACACCACGAAAGUCUGCAACACCCGAAGCCGGUGAGGUAACCCGUAAGGGAGCUAGCCGUCGAAGGUGGGGCCGAUAAUUGGGGUGAAGUCGUAACAAGGUAACC
RNAcentral lists this ribosomal RNA (1520 nucleotides) under uncultured bacterium. Its description in RNAcentral is "16S ribosomal RNA". It matches the Rfam family "Bacterial small subunit ribosomal RNA". The record is from RNAcentral.